This 2372-nucleotide long non-coding RNA is filed under the name Homo sapiens (human). RNAcentral's name for it is "non-protein coding NUTM2A-AS1:33". The record is from RNAcentral. Lineage: Eukaryota; Metazoa; Chordata; Mammalia; Primates; Hominidae.
AGAAGGAGUGCGGUCCACUGGAGGUCUCCCUACAUUCUUCCUCCAUUAUCUCACUGCCUCCGGUGGCUGCUGGGAUACCGGAGGACUCGGGUCCCGGCUCGACUCAGUCCUCCAGCCGCCCGGGGAAUACCUCUAGUUCUUCCCGGCCGCCGCCGCCUCCGCCCCGCCGCUUCCUCCUCCGCCUGCCGGCCUCCUUCGCCCCGCCCCGUCCGCGCAGCUCGUCCGGCCCGCCCGCAGGCCAGCUUCUCUCGGGAGCCUCCACCCAGGCGCAUGGCUCCAUGAAGCAAGAGGAGGAGGCAGAGCGCGAGAGAUCCCGUCCGCCCCAGCCGCGUCUGGGCCAGGAGAAAAGCAAAACCAUAUUCCUGCUGCUGUCAGUUUUGAUGCACUGAGAAAACUUCAGAGACCUAAGCUUUUUCCAGAGAAGAGAAGCUUUACUGGUGUUCCAGCCCUAAGGCUCAUAUGACAUUAACAGACAAGACACUUUUCAGAAAGACAGGCAACGUGUUGGACCUUCCGGAGCUUCUCAGAAGACAGAGGGUUUUCUUUUGAGGCUGUUGUACAGUGGCCUGAUUAUAGCUCACUGUAGCCUCGAAAUUCUGGGCCGAAAUGAUCCGCCUGCCUCAGCCUCCAAAGUAGCUGAGACUACAGGCUGGUCUUGAACUCUUGGGCUGAAGAGAUUCUCCCACCUCAGCCUCCCAAGGUGUUGAGAUUACAAGCAUGAGCCACCUCACCUGGCCAAGAGCUAGUUGUUAAAAGAGCCUAGCACUACCCCCCUCUUUCUUGUUUCCUCUCUCACCAUGUGAUCUCCACACACAUUGGCUUGCCUUCCCUUUCUGACAUGAGCGGAAGCAGCCUGAGGCCCUCACCAGAUGUGGAUGCCAGUGCCAUGCUUCUUGUACAAUCUGCAGAAUCAUAAGCUAAAUACACCUCUUUUCUUUAUAAAUUACCCAGCCUUGGGUAUUCCUUUAUAGCAACACAAACGGAGAAAGACAUAUGCAAUUUGCCAUUUUAAUCAUUUUUAACUGUACAAUUUGGUGGUAUUAAUUAUAUUUACAAUGUUGUGCAACCGUUACCACCAUCUAUUACCAAAGCCCUUUCAUCACCCCAAAUAGAAACUGUGCUUAUUCAGCAAAAACUCCCAUUUUCCUCUCCUUCCAGCCCCUGGUAACCUCUGGUAACCUCUAAUCUACCUCCUGUCUCUAUGAAUUUGCCUAUUGUAAAUAUUUCACAUAAUGGUAUCAUACACUAUCCUUUUGUGUCUAGCUUAUUUAACUUAGCAUAAUGUUUUCAAGGUUCAUCCAUCUUAUAGCAUGUAUCAGUAUUCCAUUCUUCUUUUCUAUGGCUGAAUAAUAAUUGUAUGUAUAUACUGCAUCUUGUUUAUCCAUUUAUCUUUUUGUUUGUUUGUUUUUUAAAGACAGGGUUUUACCAUGUUGGCCAAGCUAGUCUCGAACUCCUGAACUCAGGUGAUCCGCCCACCUUGGCCUCACAAAGUACUGGGAUUACAGGCGUGAGCCAUCGUGCCUGGCCUAUCCGUUUAUCUUUUGAUAGACAUUUUGGUUGUUUCUACCUUUUGUCUAUUGUGAAUAAUGCUGCUAUGAACAUUAGUGUACAAGUCACUGUUUAAGUUGUUGUUUUCAAUUCUUUUGGGUAUUGUAUUAGGCCAUUCUUGCAUUGAUAUAAAGAAAUACCUGAGACUGGGUAAGUGCCAAAGAAAAAAGGGUUUAGUUGGCUCACAUUUCUGCAGUCUGUACAGGAAGCAUAGCAGCAUCUGCUUCCAGGGAGGCUUCAGGAAGCUUCCAAUCAUGAUGGAAGGCAAAGUGGGUGCAGGUAUGUCACGUGGCAAAAGCCAGAGCAAGAGAGGAAGUGGGGAGGUGCUGCACACUUUUAAACAAUCAAAUCUUGUGAGAACUCACAAUCUUGAUGACAGCUAGAGAUGGUGAAGCCACUCAUGAGAAACCACUCCCAUGAUCCAAUCACCUCCCACCAGGCCCCAACUCUAACACCGGAGAUUAAUUACAUUUCAACAUGAGAUUUGCAUAGGAACAAACAGUCAAACUAUAUCCGGUAUAUACUUAAGAGUAGAAUUACUGGGUGAUAAUUCUGUUUUACGUUUUGAGGAAUUGCCAAACUAUCUUCCUCAGCAGUUAAACCAUUUACAUUCCCACCAGCAGUAUACUAGGUUUCCAAUUUCUCCACAUGUUCAACAACACUAGUUAUUUUUUCUUCUAAUUAUAGCCAUUCUAGUAGGUACAAAGUGGUAUCUCAUUGUGGUUUUAGCAUCUUUUGAGUUGCUUAUUGACCAUUUACAUGUCUUUUUUUUAGAGAAGUGUCUAAGUAUUUUGUCCAUUAAAAAAUUGAGUUAUUUAUCUUUU